RNAcentral lists this long non-coding RNA (5486 nucleotides) under Sus scrofa (pig). RNAcentral's name for it is "lncRNA (ENSSSCG00050051093.1)". Lineage: Eukaryota; Metazoa; Chordata; Mammalia; Artiodactyla; Suidae. The record is from RNAcentral.
ACUCUCCUGUGAAACUAACCUAUUGUCCUUAGACUUAGUUUAUGAGCCCCUGUUACUGUUUUCUCCCAGGAUACCCUUUGUGGUUCAGGCAAAUAAACACCUGAUGGGCACAGUCUCUCUGCCCUCCAGACAGCUGGAUAUGUAUUGAAUUUGGGCAUCCCUGGGACUGUGGAGUUGAGAGUGGCUUAGGUCAGUCAGAUCUCUGACUUGCUAUCUAUCUAUAGUGACAGGUAUAUAGACAAAGGACUAGAAGACCCCCAAAGUCCUUAAAGGGAAUAAUUUGCCCAAGGCUACUGUUAUGCAGAAUCACAUCUGGCACUUUAGUCUAGAUCUUUCUAACUCCGGAGUCCUAAACUUUUAAUAUUUCUCAUUUCUGGUCCAUCUUUAGAUCUUUCUAACUCUGGAGUCCUAAACUUUUAAUCUUUCUCAUUUCUGGUCCAUCUUUAACCUACUCUGAACACAGUAGAGUAGGUAUAAAAUAAAUAUUUACAUCAGCACCAAACCCACUGUGUGGCAAGAUGAAAACACUGUGAACACAAUACACAUGUGACACUAUUGAACUGAUUUUUUUUCAUUUUUUUUUCAUUUUUUUAUUACUCAAAUGAAUUUAUCAAAUCUGUAGUUGUAUAAUGAUCAUAACAAUCUGAUUUCACAGGAUUUUCAUCCCACAGCCCAAGCACAUCCCUCCACCUCCCAAACUGUCUCCUCCGGAGACCAUAAGUUUUUCAAUGUCUGUGAGUCAGCAUCUGUUCUGCAAAGAAGUUCCGUCUGUCCUUUUUUCAGAUUCCACAUGUCAGUGAAAGCAUUUGAUGUUGGUGUCUCAUUGUAUGGCUGACUUCACUUAGCAUGAUAGUUUCUAGGUCCAUCCAUGUUGCUAAAAAUGCUGGUAUUUCGUUCUUUUUGAUGGCUGAGUAAUAUUCCAUUGUGCAUAUGUAUCACAUUUUCUGGAUCCACUCCUCUGUCGAUGGACAUUUAGGUUGUUUCCAUGUCUUGUCUAUUGCAAAUAGUGCUGCAAUGAACAUCGGAGUACAUGUGUCUUUGCGAGUCAUGGUUUUCUCUGGAUAGAUGCCCAGGAGUGGGAUUGCUGGAUCAAAUGGGAGUUCUAUUUUUAGUUUUCUGAGGAAUCUCCAUACUGCUUUCCAUGAGGAACUGAUUUUGAGUAAGAAUUUUCUAUAAAAUCUUGAAAAAAUUUUUUGGCUGUACCGCAUGCAAAAGUUUCCAGGCCAGGGAUCGAACCCAUGCCACAGUAGCAGUCUGAACCACAGCAGUGAUGAUGCCAGAUCCUUACUUAACCUGCUAGGCCACCAGGGAACUCCCCAAAGCUUGAUUUUUUAAGACACAAAAUAACCCAGAGUCUUUAUGGUCUGCCUUAGAGCUGAUGAUGAUUUCUGACAAUAAUUAUUUGCAGUAAUUUUUUUUUUUCCCUAGAGACUUUAAAAAAAACUCACGAAGUUUUCUAUGAGAUGUUUCUUUUAGGUGUAUACAUUUAAAAAAAUACAAUUUAUAGGUCAGUGCCUUAUUUUUUUUAGGUGAGACUAUAGAAAAAUUGGGAACAUCGUAUCAUAAUAAAAAUGACUUUUAUUUACUUGGGAAGGACUUUUUAGUUGUGAGGGAUCCUUUCUUUUUAUGUGCUUGUUACUGUUCACUAUAAGAAUUAUUUUAUUCCGUUGGAAAAUUCAGUUUACUGUUUGGAAAGCAGCUGAUCUGUCUACAUGGGAAAUGCUACAAUAUAUUCAAAAGCUGCACAUACUCCCUGUUCUUUUUCCUUGGAAAUUCAGGGUACAGUAACGCUGUUUAUUUGCUGUUAUUCACAAUAGUGAUAGCAUACUAGGCUCUGCAUAGAAUAAUAUAUACGGAUACAUUUGCAUCCAUAUACAUAAAUACAUACAUAAGAAUGAGUCCCUCAUACCUAUAGGCACAUUCCAGCCCGCCCAUCUUUUCAUAGAUAUAUAAGAUUUUCCUUCCACCCUGGGAGUUUGAUUUACACAAUGAUAGGACUUCUUUUAUACUUGCUAAUUCUAUUCUCUAUUAUAUUCCAAAAGGAAUCAUAUUAUCUGCCUUGUCCGAUUUGCUUCUGUGUCUCAUUAAAGUGGCCUGCUGUGAAGCUAAUUUUUCUUGUUCACUUUAUUGAUAUUUUGGGAGAGGGAGAUUUUUUUCCAAGCAGUUCCUGCUUUAGUAUAGGGUUGUAGUAGCUGUCAAAAGAAGGCUUUAAAAACCAUCGUCUAAAAUAAAUCAAAAAUAAAAGCAGCUUAUUUUAGUAUCUCUAUUGAAAUCUAAAUUACAGGUCAUUGAUCUUUUUCCCCACUUCCUUGCAAUUAUUUUUAUUGAAUUUUUAAAAGUAAGACAAUGCAGUGUAUUAAAAAAAAAAAGCAAAUAAACCUCCAUGAUAAGAAUAGUACCAAAUGGUUUUUAAAUCGCAACAGCACACAUUUUACAGGAGAAAAGCUUAAUAAAACCUAGCCUUGUUUUUAUUUACUACAAUAGAAAAUAAAGCGUGGCAGUGAUUAGGUUAGUACAAUUAUGAAUCAAUCUGAAGUCUCACCGUGGAGGGACAUGGUUUAAUUUUAAAAAGCUCAAUUAUUCUUGUCAGGUCAACUACUUUUUAUAUAUCUAUAUUGAUAUAGCUAUAGCUAUAUAAUAUGAUAUAUAAAUAAUAUACAAAUAUGUGCAUCAUUAUAAUAUAUAAUAUGUAUAAAUAUAUAAUUAUAUAUGCACAUUGGAAUAUAUUUUAAAACAAUAAUCUUUAUAUAUGUAUAAUGAUAUAUUUUAAAUAAUACAUAGCAAGGCCACAAACAGAAAGAGAUGUUUUCUAAGCAUCUGUUGCUUGCCUAGGAGAUGGAAGUCUGGUGCUUUGCCUUAGAAGCAGGUGAGAGCAUGCAAGGCAGGACUGCCUGGUUUUGAUCCCUGGCUCCACUCCUUCCCUUCAUCUUUCUGAGCCUCAGUUGGUCCUUCUGCAAACUAAGGAUAGAAUGCUUUCCUCAUGAGUCUUUCAGGGACUUAGGUGAAUUUAUACUUGUAAAGCACUGAGAAAAUAGUGCCUGACACAUAGUAAGCACUAUAUUAUGUUUGUUAAAUAAAUAUCUCAGCAGCUGGAGCUGUUCAGAAACACAAUACAUAUUAUUUAGGAAACAAGUUGCUAUUUUGAAAAACAGAGAAAAUGUGUCGCUUCUUCAGAUCUAUCUAGGAUUUAGCAUUUCGAGACACAAAGAAUUGUUUCUCCUUUGCAAUAUAUUCUUAACUAGAAGUUCCAGAGGGUGGCAGACGGUCAGGGAUAGCGAGAGAAGAAAGUCAACAUCAUAUUCCCGGGGGGCAGAUCUAGGGGGCCAGCAGGAAUUGCAGUGCAGCCUCUGAAGGUUUUAUCAGCCCAGCGGUGAGCACUGACUUAAGCUUAUCUCUUCCAACCUGUUCCACAGGCCAGAGGUUCUAUAAAUUGUUAAUAGGUGUGUUUCGAAGAUGUUCCUAAAUAAAAUAAGUUUGACAAACCCUUGGAUAAACACAUUUAAAUAACAGUCCUUACAGCUUUAAAAAUAUUUAAUAUGCAUUUCAAUACUGCAAGAAACACAUAUUAUGGAUCAGAUCCCAAAUUUAUUUCACUAUGAUUUCCUUUUUCUCCCCUUUAUCAUACAACUAUUAUUAUAUUCCAAAGGUAGAAAAUAGAACUUCAUUAGACAAGUAGUAGUUUGUUUGUUUUUGGUCCUUAUAUUCCAUGGAGAAGAACUGAAUAAGCAAAUUAGUUUAGAAAGAAAGAAUAAAAUGUUAUUUAUAACUAGCAACUGAUAACGUUUUACAACUUAAACAUACUUUCAUAUACAUUAUUUUCUUCAGUAGCAUAUUUUCUUUGUUUGUACUCACUUCCUAACCCUCUACCUCAUUUCCCAUUUCUUGAAAUCAAAAGGUUAGGCACACCUAAGGACCCAGACAUUCCAGUCCCAAGUAAAUAUCUCCUCGUAAAGCAGUUUGCUUAUCUGAGCUAAAGGACAUUCAUUGCAACAUUGGGAGCAAAAAAGGAGAAAUCAUCUAAUGUUUACAAAAGGGGGAAUGGGUAAACAAAAUUCAGGCAGCCAAUACGUGUUGGUUACAAUGAAUCACCUAUCUCUGUGUGUAACUACGGAUAAAUCUUUAAAGCAUAAUUUUAAGUGAAAAUUAAUAGAACAUAGUUAAAAGAUGCAACUAUAUGAUAUUUUAAAUCAUCGGCAAAUAGUAAUGAGAAAGAAGAGUUAGUAUAGGUAAUGAUGACAGGGUGAAGUGAGUUAAUUGUGCAUCCCUUAGGUAAUUAAAGGAUUGUUAAUAUAAGGCUUAAGAAAUUAGGAGAGAUGCAGUUGUAUUAAAUGCCCUUCCCUUUACUGUCUCUUGUGUUGCUCUGUACUUACUGAGAAUCACGAUCCAGAUUUCCUUUAUCCACCCCUCUGCUAAUGACACAAACAUGUACAUUUCCACCUCACACUUCUCCUUUGAAUAGUGAGCCUGUAUAUCUUUUGGCCCCCUUGAAUAUCUCACAGACAACUCAAGUGACAUGUCCCAAGUGAUUCAGUAUUAUACACUUCUUUUUCUCUGCCACAAAGAAAUAAAAAAGUUCCUCCUCUUCUUGGAUAGUCCAUAUCUUCCAAGUGACUCUCAAGCCGAAAUCUGCUUGUUAAUCCCCGUUCACCACCAAACAAUAUCAUCAAACCCUUUCAGUUCUUUCUCCUAAAUUUCUAGUCAGCCCAGCCCCUCCUCUCCAUUGCUUCUCCCGCUGCCCUUAUUUGACUUAUUCUAAUAAUUGUUUCUUGUGUUACUGUGAUACCUCCUUAAAUGUCUCUGUGCCUCUAGUCCUACUGUUCUCAGAAAAAAAUCCUCCACAUGUUUGUAAGCUCGUUCCACCCUCCGUGUGUCAUAUCUCAGCUCUUCAUAAAAUCAUUUGAUGGUAUCCCUUAAUUUUUAGAUGAAAUGUAAACAACUUGGCAUGGCUUCAAAAAGUUCCCAUGCUUUAACACUGCUAAUCCCUUUAACUAUUCCAUCUUACCACCCAUUCUUUCUUUUUCUCCUUCCCUUCUUCUUCUCCACCCUUGGCUCUCCUAGACUUCAGGCAUAAUAACCUACACAUCUUUUUCUGUAUGUUUCUGUUUGCCCAUAAUGCCCUUUAUAACCCUGGUCCUCCAGUGUUCCUUCAUUUCCCUUAUUCCUGUUAAGGAAUACAAUUACCUUGUAUCUUUUUUAUUUGAAUAACUUUAAUUUGGAAAAUAACUUAUACUUGUGAAUGCCUUAAAAAGGAAAUAAAUUUGUUAAAGUCAAGUUCUGAAAAAUAGAAAAUUGAUAAGAUAAUGGUUAUGACAGGAGUUCCCGUUGUGGAUCAGUGGGUUAAGAACCUGAUAUAGUGUUGGUGACAUGGGUUCGAUCCCUGGCCUCACUCAGUGGGUUAAGGAUCCAGUGUUGCCACAGGCUGCAGUGAACAUCACAGAUGCAACUUGGAUUUGACCCCUAGCCCAGGAACUUCCAUGUGCUGCGUU